UUAAGUCUCUUCUUUUCGUUUAUAUACUUUUGUAAAUAUGUAACAUAACUUUGUUUUGGGUCUUGUAUUUAGCCAAAGAACAUUCUUUAGUAUAUGGUUUAGGACCUUGGUUCAAUUAAGAGGUAAUUAGUUCCUCACUUAGGACCUUAAGACUUAAUUAGUGUCACUUUUGGGCUUAAAUGGGCCUUGAAGGAGCUUAGACUUGGUUGGAAGAAGCCUUGGUCGAUCACAUCAAGGGGAGGCUCCCAUGCAAUUUAUUUGGACGGUUAGUUGAGAAGGAGGGCUCCCAUUCUUCCACCCUUUCCAAGUGAAGCUUCUAGGCUCUUUUAGGAUUCAAUGUAUUCUAGGUUUCUCCUUCACCUAUAUAAGAGGAGAGACAUCCCUCUUGUAAUUCUAGGAACAUUAUUGAAUGUAGAGAAACAUUGUCAGAUUUGCAAGCCUCUCUUCUUAGUUCUAAUUAGAGUAGUCCUUAUUCUAGAAUUCUUCUUCCUUUUCCCUUCAAGGUUGGCCAAACAUCCUUCAAGAACCUUCAGCAAACCGCAAACUUCAAACCAAUCUUCAUCUCUUCUACAAGGCGUCAUCUCAUCUCCAUGGAGCUUCAUCAAGAAGGUUGAAGGAGCAUCUCCAUCAACUCCUUUUUCUAAUACUCCUUGAAACGUUAAUGAUCAUUUUUACAUGAGUAAUGGUAUGAUGACACAUAUUGAUAUUCAUUUGACACAUUGUAAGAGAAAAAUAAUCAUAAAAAAGUAAACUUUUAUAUUUUUAAAAUAAAAGAGAAAAAAAGUAAUGAAAAAUAGUAUCAAAUGAAUCUAAAAUUUGUGUUAAGUACUAUUACUCUUUUUACAUCAACCGAGGUAGCUUCUUCUGUAACAUGCGAGAAUCGGAUGCAUCUCUCAAAAGGACUAGAAUAACGUGCGUCAAAACGUUAUUUCAGGAAGAAAAUUAGUUACAACACGUGUUGCUGCUCAGUGGACUAAGGUACAAUCGCAAUGACGCAACCCAACGACUGAGAGUCCCUUCCCUCGGAAUAUUCAAGUGCAUGGCAAGUCUAAUCCACAAAAGGAUAAACGACAGGCAUAUGCAUACCCUACUACGUUGCUCGCAUCAUUGGGUCUUACACAAUGAACAAGGAAGAGUUUGCACGACAAGCUGUGAAAUCAGGUGUGAUACCUCCAUUGCUAGACCUUCUUAGAGGGAAGAUGAGUUGAGUUGUGCAAAGAGAUGCUGUUAGAGCACUUGGUCAUUUGGCCCGUUGCAAAAGCACGUUUGAAUCAGUACUACAACAGGAGCAAGAGGUAGCGAAGUUCGCCUUGAAAAAAAGGCUUGAGUAUCACAGAAACUUGCUUACUAGAGGGGUUGGGGAUUUGGAGAUGGAGAAUUGCAAGGAAGAAGAAUGGGCUACCCAACUUUAGUGUUGGUGUAUUUAUCUCCUGAAUUGCUUUGCUCCUCUGUAAUCUUAAGAAAUUCCUCAGAGCUGUAUGCCAUAGUGCAUUUGAAAGAUAUUCCCUAACAGACAAAAGUUCUCAAACAUGGUUUGUGAACAACCCUGAGUGAGCUGUCUCGUUGCUGACAAUGACAUGCUUAAGGAUGUGUAUCUUUUCU
This 1602-nucleotide long non-coding RNA is filed under the name Vigna radiata. RNAcentral describes it as "long non-coding RNA (VRAD_LNC002940)". Lineage: Eukaryota; Viridiplantae; Streptophyta; Magnoliopsida; Fabales; Fabaceae. The record is from RNAcentral.